This 469-nucleotide ribosomal RNA is filed under the name uncultured bacterium. RNAcentral describes it as "partial 16S ribosomal RNA". It matches the Rfam family "Bacterial small subunit ribosomal RNA", at positions 28 to 507 of the family's 1533-position model. The record is from RNAcentral.
GACGAACGCUGGCGGUGUGCUUAACACAUGCAAGUCGAACGGAAAGGCCCUGCUUGCAGGGUGCUCGAGUGGCGAACGGGUGAGUAACUCGUGGGUGAACUGCCCCUUUCUUUGGGAUAGGCCUGGUCAACUGGGCCUAAUACUUGAUAGGACCAUUCUGGAGGCGGAGUGGUGGAAAGAUUAGUUUCGGUUAGGGGUGAGCUCGCGGCCUGUCAGCGUGUUGGUGGGGUAAUGGCCUACCAAGGCGUCGACGGGUAGCCGGCCUGAGAGGGUGGGCGGCCCGAUUGGGACUGCGACGCGGCCCAGACUCCUGCGGGAUGCCGCAGUGGGGGAAAGCGCGCAGUAGGAGCGCGCCUGAUGCAGCGACGCUGCGCGGGGCGUGACGCCCUUCUGGUUGUAAACUACUUUUAGGCAUGACGCAGCGCUUGUCGUGACGGUAGUUGUAGAAGAAGCCCCGGCUAACUACGUG